Molecule: long non-coding RNA, 700 nt
Filed under: Vigna radiata
Lineage: Eukaryota; Viridiplantae; Streptophyta; Magnoliopsida; Fabales; Fabaceae
Description: long non-coding RNA (VRAD_LNC006524)
Source: RNAcentral
UUCUACUCUAUCAUUCUCAGAGCUUUAUGACCUCAUUUCUAUUUCCUCCACCCCUUGCACCAUACUCCUCUCAUGUAUAACAUAGAUCAUCGCAACCACAACCAUAACCAAAAGGAUAAGUUAGUGUAAGUAUGACCAAACCUAUCAUUUAUAUAUAAUAUUGGGAUUAAUUUUAAUCCAUUCAAUUCAACCUUUGCAUACUCUCAACAAUAAUCAAAUGUUGACAAAAAACAUAUAUCAAUACAAAGAUAACCACAAUCCUCAUGGCCCACAAGACUUAGAGGAAAAGUGAGAGAAGAAGGUCAAAAGAAGGAAAAGUGAGAGAGGAAGGUGAAAAGAAGGAAAAGUGAGAGAAGGAGGUGGAGAGAUGGAAAUAUGAGAGAAGGAGGAAGAGAAGGAGAAGGAAGAGGGGGAAAAUGAGGAGCCAACAAUGGGACGACAAUGAAAGGUGAUAGAAGUGGUGACGGCAAAGCAAUAGGAAGAGGGAAUAAGGUAUGGGAAGAAGAAAAAAUGGAAAGAUAAAAGGAAGAAGAAGGAGAGAGAAGGAAAAAAGUAAACUAGAUCGCAAUAUUAUUCAACAAUUUUUUCUGUCGAUUUACGAAAGAAUUUUAUUGAUGAAUUUUUUGUUACUAAUUAUAGAUGAAAUUCCUGUUUCGUUGAUAAAAUUUAUUGAUAAGAAUUUUAUCGACAAAUUUUUUAU